This is a long non-coding RNA of Haliotis rubra (blacklip abalone), 1523 nucleotides long. RefSeq lists it as uncharacterized. NCBI's taxonomy places the organism in Eukaryota, Metazoa, Mollusca, Gastropoda, Lepetellida, Haliotidae. The transcript has 2 exons. The record is from RefSeq and is a predicted model, not a curated record.
ACCUGUGGACCAUCAUCUUUCGACAGUUUGUUCUACUUCUGGUCACCUUGUACAGAGAUGAAGUAGAUGGAAAUAGCUACAUGGACACAAUAACAGUGGAAGGCGUGACGUGCAACUUUGCUGAAUAUAAAACCAAUGACGGUGGAGGACCUCGCGGACUGCGUCUCUAUUCGUGUAAGAAUGUUAGCGGCAAGUUGAACAUUGACUGCAUUUACUUUGGUGGGAACCCUCACGGCUGCAAGAAAUAUAAACCACAUGUGCAGAAGAGCAUCGCGAAAUAUUACAGAACACUGGCAAGAAGUGCCAUGAACAAUGGCAAUCCGUGCAGACCAAGCAGCAUUACUGAAAAUAUCUGUAACAAAGACUACCCUUGUUACAAAGGAAGCUGUAUGAAUCAAUCAUGUCCGAGAUGAGUUAUAGAAUCUAAUACAAUUUUAACGUUUAUCUUGCAUCGAAGCAGAAUGUCAGAGUGAAGCACCUAAACGCAAGCGCACGAUGUCAGCGAUCUAAACUGUUCGGCCUCUGCGGCCGCCACAAAACCUGACAACCGGUAGUCUAGAUCACGUACUUUAUGUAACUGGCGCUCAAUGAAGGCCCAAUUUCUUUGGAAAUGUCACCAUAAGAGCGUGUUUCCCAAAGCGACUGGAAGCAAGCACUAAAAAUGUCUUUUGCAAUUAUUUUCUUAACACUGCAUUACCUCUGUUGAUGUCCUGUACAGUUCGUCCUGCUGAGAAACAGAGGCGGAUGCGUGAAGGAUUGAUACGUAGGGUUGUAAAUCCCAAGAUAAUCCUUGGUUGUGAUUCUUGGUUCGUUAGCACUGUACCCAUCCUCCCUGUAACUAAGUACUGCCACUUUAAUUUGUGAAUAUUUGGAUCGGCCGAUAAUCAGACGCCAAAUUCUAUAUCUUGGCAGGUAUGUUUUUGAUGGGCAAGUCGGACCUGUAUGAUCGGUCUGUUACAUCAUCUGGUAUUGUGUGAAAUUGAGUCUGAACUACCCUGUAUUCUGGACGAUGAAUUACACCGAUUAGCAGUACUUAGUUUAGGUGUCCUCUCACUUAGCCAGAUUCUGUCAAAAGAGUGCCAGAGUGGCAUUUGGCUGACUAGAGUUAGUGUUUUGAUGACACUUAGUCAAGAUUAGUCAUAGUCUGUAUCAACAAAUGCUCAAUUAGUUAGAUUAGUGAAAUUUGUAUUAAAGUGAGAUACAUUGAUUGGUAUUAUUUGAAUAUUUUUACAUUUUUCAUAUAUGUGUUAAAGUGAGAGAAAUGAAGUACGUUGAAUUGGUUUUAACUAGAUUUACCACUGAGAAGGUAUUACCAGUAUAUAUAGCAAACUUUAGCCAAAUAAUUUCAUGCAUGCAUGUGUAGAAAUCAGGUUCAUCGACAACAACAUAGGCGGUCAGUAUCUUCUUCACAACAACUACCAGUUCAGUGUGAAAGCAAGAUGGAGGAAUGAGACUGUCUACUGGCGUUGUCGACACCACGGUUUGGGAUGCCGUGACACUCUCAACACAAAGAACAAAACUUG